Long non-coding RNA from Tupaia belangeri chinensis (Chinese tree shrew), 2061 nucleotides. RefSeq lists it as uncharacterized. The transcript has 4 exons. NCBI's taxonomy places the organism in Eukaryota, Metazoa, Chordata, Mammalia, Scandentia, Tupaiidae. The record is from RefSeq and is a predicted model, not a curated record.
GCUGCGACCUUGAGUGAACACCACCGCAGUGAUUUUGAAUGCUAGAAUUCCACACUUAGACUCUAGCAUCCAGUGCUGGGCACUCUAAUCCCUACUGAGACUCUCUGAGCACCCAGCCUUUCUGGCCUGUGACCGUGGAGUUGACCUUGGUGCACAGGGUGUGGCCAGAAGAGCGCCUCAAUAACGCUUCCACCAGCCACAGCCCCUAGAGGUUAGCCACGUGCUCGGAUGAUGAUGAUGAUAACGACAAUAAAGAAGUAACAAGGCAAGAAUGCUCCCUCCUCUGUUCCACCCCAAAGAGCUAUGCCCAUUUUACAUAAGAGAAAUCGGACAUGCGGAACAGGCUGGCUGACUCCACACCUGGUGCUCUGCUAACCGCUCUGCGGCUUGGUCUUCCUCGUCUGACUGGAGACUGGCGGGGGACACUGGAACUCAUGAGCUGCUAAGUGGAGGAUUUGCCCAAGAAGUUCCCUGCCUUGGGCUGCUAUCCCACCAGGCAUGCGCUGCCUUGAUGUUUGGAAAAGGUGGAACCACCGAGAUACCCAUUGAACUCCUUUUCUGUACCAGGCCCUGAAAUGAUUUUGAAACACAGGCUGCCACCCACCCUGCUCGAGAAUACAGAAAUGAGUAAGACAUAGUCCUAGACUUUGAGAACAUCCUGUGUUAUUUGGGGAGAUGAAUCAAGUUGAGAAGAAAAUAGAAUACAAGAAUAAGCAUGCUGAACAGCCCAGGAGAGGAGAAUGGAGAACAGGUAGAAGAAAGAUCUCUUCCACAGCUCAAGAGGAUGGGAAUCAAGUUCAGGUUCACAUUGUGUGAAUAUUCAUUUAUUUAAUUUUUUGUUUAAUGCUUAUCUCCCUAUAUGACAGUCCUGGGCUAUUUUUGCCAGCCUCUCUCUCUCUCUCUCUCUCUGAAACUGUGCUUCUGUUUUUCUUUAGAGAACCAUCUCUUGCCCAUUCUCAGUUCCAGCCCAGCUCUAGCCAUUUACAUGUGAUCCAAACCCAGCUAAGGGAUUGGCUCAGGGAUGGGCCAAUGAAAAUCAGCCCUGGGAUUUUGCGGGGACUAUUAGAAGACAAAUUUUUCCCCAGGAAGUAAGCCUGAAGUUGCUGGAGGCCAUCUCUCCAGCCAUGUUGGUGCAGCCUUCUGAGAAACCAACACGGAGAAAAACAGAGCUCAGAGAUUCAGAAGACAAAGUCCUAGUGACGUAUGUACGCCUCCCUAUCCAACCCUGCCUGAAGCCUUCCCUCACCCAAGACUUUUCAAUUACAUUUUUGCUUAAGUCCAUUUAAACUGCAUCUUUGUCACCUACAACCAGAAGAACCCUAAUGAUAAAUAAAUAAGUACUUCUCAAACACUCGCCUGGUGCUUGGCAUAUAGUAACAGGCUCCAAACAACAGGUGGUGUUGAAACAGAUCUUCAAUGCAUGCUCAUACACCCACAUCCAGUUACAAGGACCAGAGACACCAGGAAGGAAGACACUUGGAAACAGAAAGAACUAUCUCAGAAUAGGAGGAAAGGACUGAAUCAGAUGACAGUCACCACCGCAAGGAACAAUGAAGGAUGUGCAAACAACAGAGCAGAGAAGAGAUCGAAGGAAAUCGAUCCAUUCAAGUAGAAUGGGAAUUCCAGGCUACUGAUAAGCGAAUGGCAGGCUGGUGCAGCUUCGCCUUAUCUCCACCUGUCUUUGCUUCUCAGGUGUCCCCACAAGCAAUCAUGGACUGCUUCCUGGUACAAUUGACUCUGCAAAGACUCCAAGAGCAAAGCCAGCCAAGGUCAAGGGCCCCUCGGAUCACAAAGGCCUUGAAAAGUCUCAGAGAUGAGCCUGUGUCUCUGCCUAACUGGCCCCUUUCCUGGCCGUGCUGGUUAACCCCCAGCCCAGCACUCUCUUCUCUGCAGACCUUUCUCCACAGCACCUUUCGAAAUACUAUGCGUUUAUUUGAUCUUGUCACUUUCACCCCUACUUCGUCUGUCUUUCUAAAAGAUAAAAACUUUCAGCCUCAGCCACAAUGGCGCAGGAGGCAGGGCACCGCUGCAUGAUACUGGAGUCACACGGGAGACCCCAGA